Molecule: long non-coding RNA, 920 nt
Filed under: Homo sapiens (human)
Lineage: Eukaryota; Metazoa; Chordata; Mammalia; Primates; Hominidae
Description: HSALNT0181063
Source: RNAcentral
CUUCUCCUCCUCCUUGUGGUCACCACAGUUGUAUGUUGGGUUUGGAUCUGUAGAAAAAGAAAACGGGAGCAGCCAGACCCUAGCACAAAGAAGCAACACACCAUCUGGCCCUCUCCUCACCAGGGAAACAGCCCGGACCUAGAGGUCUACAAUGUCAUAAGAAAACAAAGCGAAGCUGACUUAGCUGAGACCCGGCCAGACCUGAAGAAUAUUUCAUUCCGAGUGUGUUCGGGAGAAGCCACUCCCGAUGACAUGUCUUGUGACUAUGACAACAUGGCUGUGAACCCAUCAGAAAGUGGGUUUGUGACUCUGGUGAGCGUGGAGAGUGGAUUUGUGACCAAUGACAUUUAUGAGUUCUCCCCAGACCAAAUGGGGAGGAGUAAGGAGUCUGGAUGGGUGGAAAAUGAAAUAUAUGGUUAUUAGGACAUAUAAAAAACUGAAACUGACAACAAUGGAAAAGAAAUGAUAAGCAAAAUCCUCUUAUUUUCUAUAAGGAAAAUACACAGAAGGUCUAUGAACAAGCUUAGAUCAGGUCCUGUGGAUGAGCAUGUGGUCCCCACGACCUCCUGUUGGACCCCCACGUUUUGGCUGUAUCCUUUAUCCCAGCCAGUCAUCCAGCUCGACCUUAUGAGAAGGUACCUUGCCCAGGUCUGGCACAUAGUAGAGUCUCAAUAAAUGUCACUUGGUUGGUUGUAUCUAACUUUUAAGGGACAGAGCUUUACCUGGCAGUGAUAAAGAUGGGCUGUGGAGCUUGGAAAACCACCUCUGUUUUCCUUGCUCUAUACAGCAGCACAUAUUAUCAUACAGACAGAAAAUCCAGAAUCUUUUCAAAGCCCACAUAUGGUAGCACAGGCUGGCCUGUGCAUCGGCAAUUCUCAUAUCUGUUUUUUUCAAAGAAUAAUAAAAUCAAAUAAAGAGCA